RNAcentral lists this ribosomal RNA (471 nucleotides) under Salmonella enterica. Its description in RNAcentral is "bacterial SSU rRNA". It matches the Rfam family "Bacterial small subunit ribosomal RNA", at positions 1 to 468 of the family's 1533-position model. The record is from RNAcentral. Lineage: Bacteria; Pseudomonadati; Pseudomonadota; Gammaproteobacteria; Enterobacterales; Enterobacteriaceae. RNAcentral also lists the same sequence under 1 other name.
AAAUUGAAGAGUUUGAUCAUGGCUCAGAUUGAACGCUGGCGGCAGGCCUAACACAUGCAAGUCGAACGGUAACAGGAAGCAGCUUGCUGCUUCGCUGACGAGUGGCGGACGGGUGAGUAAUGUCUGGGAAGCUGCCUGAUGGAGGGGGAUAACUACUGGAAACGGUGGCUAAUACCGCAUAACGUCGCAAGACCAAAGAGGGGGACCUUCGGGCCUCUUGCCAUCAGAUGUGCCCAGAUGGGAUUAGCUUGUUGGUGAGGUAACGGCUCACCAAGGCGACGAUCCCUAGCUGGUCUGAGAGGAUGACCAGCCACACUGGAACUGAGACACGGUCCAGACUCCUACGGGAGGCAGCAGUGGGGAAUAUUGCACAAUGGGCGCAAGCCUGAUGCAGCCAUGCCGCGUGUAUGAAGAAGGCCUUCGGGUUGUAAAGUACUUUCAGCGGGGAGGAAGGUGUUGUGGUUAAUAACC